Molecule: small nuclear RNA, 107 nt
Organism: Camelus dromedarius (Arabian camel)
Lineage: Eukaryota; Metazoa; Chordata; Mammalia; Artiodactyla; Camelidae
Source: Ensembl
GUGCUCACCUGGGCAGCACAUCUACUAACACUGGAACAACACAGAGGAGAUGAGCACGGCCCCCGCACAAGGAUGACACGCAAAUCUGUGAAGUCGUCCCUAUUUCU